CGAACGCUGGCGGCGUGGAUUAGGCAUGCAAGUCGAACGGGGUUUAGCCCUUCGGGGCGAAGACCUAGUGGCGAAAGGGUGAGUAAUACAUGGAUUACCUACCUCCGGGACCGGGACAACAGUUGGAAACGACUGCUAAUACCGGAUUGUCCAGAGAUGGUAAAGGGCGGGGACCUUCGGGCCUGCCGCCUGGAGAGGGGUCCAUGGCCUAUCAGCUUGUUGGUGAGGUAACGGCUCACCAAGGCUAAAACGGGUAGCCGGUCUGAGAGGAUGGUCGGCCACACUGGGACUGAGACACUGCCCAGACUCCUACGGGAGGCUGCAGUCGAGAAUCUUCCGCAAUGGACGAAAGUCUGACGGAGCGACGCCGCGUGCGGGAUGAAGGCCUUCGGGUUGUAAACCGCUGUCACACGUUAAGAACAAGUGUAGGUUAAUAGCCUGCAACCUGACAAAGGCGUGAGAGGAAGCCACGGCUAACUUCGUGCCAGCAGCCGCGGUAAG
Molecule: ribosomal RNA, 501 nt
Filed under: uncultured bacterium
Lineage: Bacteria
Description: bacterial SSU rRNA
Rfam family: Bacterial small subunit ribosomal RNA
Source: RNAcentral